GGUUGCGAUCAUACCAGCACUAAUGCACCGGAUCCCAUCAGAACUCCGCAGUUAAGCGUGCUUGGGCGAGAGUAGUUCUAGGAUGGGUGACCUCCUGGGAAGUCCUCGUGUUGCAACCC
This 119-nucleotide ribosomal RNA is filed under the name Helianthus annuus (common sunflower). Lineage: Eukaryota; Viridiplantae; Streptophyta; Magnoliopsida; Asterales; Asteraceae. The record is from RNAcentral.